CAGCCGCCACGGUAAUACGGAGGGCGCGAGCGUUACCCGGAUUUACUGGGCGUAAAGGGCAUGUAGGCGGCCUGGGGCGUCCCAUGUGAAAGGCCACGGCUCAACCGUGGAGGAGCGUGGGAUACGCUCAGGCUAGAGGGUGGGAGAGGGUGGUGGAAUUCCCGGAGUAGCGGUGAAAUGCGCAGAUACCGGGAGGAACGCCGAUGGCGAAGGCAGCCACCUGGUCCACUUCUGACGCUGAGGCGCGAAAGCGUGGGGAGCAAACCGGAUUAGAUACCCGGGUAGUCCCUGUCUCUUAUAC
RNAcentral lists this ribosomal RNA (301 nucleotides) under uncultured bacterium. Its description in RNAcentral is "partial 16S ribosomal RNA". It matches the Rfam family "Bacterial small subunit ribosomal RNA", at positions 509 to 807 of the family's 1533-position model. The record is from RNAcentral.